UGUCCGCAAUGAGUUGCUAUUGCUAAUACCAAUAGAAUAGACUGUGUCCCAUUAGCUAACUCUGGGUGUACAUGAGUUAACCUCACCUUCUGGACAUGAUGUGGGGACACCUGAGACGA
Molecule: small nucleolar RNA, 119 nt
Organism: Rhincodon typus (whale shark)
Lineage: Eukaryota; Metazoa; Chordata; Chondrichthyes; Orectolobiformes; Rhincodontidae
Source: RefSeq, a predicted model, not a curated record